AUUAGAGUUUGAUCCUGGCUCAGUCGAACGCUGGCGGCGUGCCUAACACAUGCAAGUCGAACGGUCCACUCCUUUCGGGGAGUGAGGCGAGUGACGGACGGGUGAGUAACACGUGAGCAAUCUAUCCUGUUGCGGGGGACACGAGGGGAAACCUUCGCUAAUACCGCAUAGUCGAGAGACUCGAUGAGUCUUUUGGAAACGUGGCCUCUUUACAAUGCUACGGCGGCAGGAGGAGCUCGCGGGCUAUCAGCUAGUUGGUGAGGUAACGGCUCACCAAGGCGGCGACGGCUACGGGGUCUGAGAGGACGACCCCGCACAUUGGAACUGAGACACGGUCCAGACUCCUACGGGAGGCAGCAGUGGGGAAUAUUGGGCAAGGCCGAAAGGCUGACCAGCGACGCCGCGUGUGGGAGGAAGCCCUUCGGGGUGUAAACCAAAGUCAGGAGGGACGAAAGAGUCGGGGGUGAAUAAUCCU
RNAcentral lists this ribosomal RNA (475 nucleotides) under uncultured bacterium. Its description in RNAcentral is "bacterial SSU rRNA". It matches the Rfam family "Bacterial small subunit ribosomal RNA", at positions 1 to 470 of the family's 1533-position model. The record is from RNAcentral.